UUUAUAAAAUAUCUAUAAUAUGUAAUUAUAUUCAUAUUUACAAAAAAUAGUUUUACACUUAUUAUCAAUAUUAUCUUAGGGUAGACUAAAUCAAUCAAUUUUAUCAUUUAGCUUGGGUUUACUCUUAGCCGAAAGCAAUUUACUUACGACUGACUUUAAACCAUUUCACCAAUAUGCAUAACCUCCUUUUUAACAGUCGGUUAAGACUGAGACUGAAUCUAGCCAAAAACUUGUACCUAAAUAUACAGUUCUGAAAAUAUUUAUUAUAGAUGUUUUUAUCUCACGAAAGCGGGUGAGCUGUAUUAGUGUGUGUAAAUGCAUAUGCACAUUAUAUUUGUACAGUCAACUGCUGGACAGUGGUAACAGUUUUAUAGGAAAAUCGUACUUAUUACUAUUGAGUUAAGGUGCAUGACAGUUACCACUGAUGUGCAGUCUACUGUACGUAAUAGGAGUAGUUCCUUCAUUGUGCGGACGAAACCGCGGGAUAUGCCUAGUUUAGUUCUUAGUUAUUAAUGUAAAAACUAUUUUUGUGAGAGUUCAAACGAAUUUGUGAAAACAAUUUGGUAGUUGACUAGGUCAAAAAUAUAAAUUCUUUAUCAUUUUCUUUUUGGUAAAGUAUUUUAAAAUAAUUUUCAUUUACCGUUUUGAUGGGAAAUAUUGUCUAAAAUAUAAUAAAAAUGAGUAUGGGACUAGAACGUCAUAGUUCGCGUUUUCCGUUUUAACUGUUUUUGACAGAAGACUAUUGAAUUUGUCUAGUUGCCAAAUCAUUGUCUGCCUAGCCUUACCAACUAUGUUGAUGUCGGCUUCCAGUCUAACCGAAUGCAGCUGAGUACCAGCGUGUCACAAGGAGCGACUGCCUAUCUGACCUCCUGAGUCAACUACCGGAUUAAUUGUUUGUUUUUUUUUUGUAUGUAAAUAUCGUUUGAGCUCAUGAAUGUAUGUACAAUGUAAUUGUUAUUGUUAAAAUACUAAGUAAACGGUUUUCAAUUCAAUAAAUAUUAUUUUCAUUUUA
Molecule: long non-coding RNA, 1012 nt
Organism: Helicoverpa armigera (cotton bollworm)
Lineage: Eukaryota; Metazoa; Arthropoda; Insecta; Lepidoptera; Noctuidae
Exons: 2
Source: RefSeq, a predicted model, not a curated record